GACGAACCGUCCAAACGUUAUUCGGAAUUAUUGGGCUUAAAGGGUGCGUAGGCUGUUCAGUAAGUUGGGUGUGAAAUCCCUCGGCUCAACCGAGGAACUGCGCCGAAUACUGCUGUGCUAGAGGGAGAUAGGGGUAAGCGGAACUGAUGGUGGAGCGGUGAAAUGCGUUGAUAUCAUCAGGAACACCGGUGGCGAAGGCGACACACUGGGUCUCAACUGACGCUGAGGCACGAAAGCCAGGGGAGCAAACGGG
RNAcentral lists this ribosomal RNA (253 nucleotides) under uncultured bacterium. Its description in RNAcentral is "partial 16S ribosomal RNA". It matches the Rfam family "Bacterial small subunit ribosomal RNA", at positions 524 to 776 of the family's 1533-position model. The record is from RNAcentral.